Pyrrhoderma noxium is the source of this 70-nucleotide non-coding RNA. The record is from the annotation of a GenBank genome assembly. NCBI's taxonomy places the organism in Eukaryota, Fungi, Basidiomycota, Agaricomycetes, Hymenochaetales, Hymenochaetaceae.
AAAACUAUAAUUUAAUGGCUAGAAUACUCUAUUAACCAGAGUAAUGGAGGUUAAAAUCCUCCUAGUUUUU